UCUUACUGUGUCAUCUUCAACCAACAAAAUAAUCACAGUCCACUCGCUUAAAAGUUGAGAUUAUUACGUCCGUACUCUAUAUUGACAAAUACAUCCCCAAAUUUUCAUGUUGCCAUACACAUGUUAGUAAUGACAAAUGAUAUCUAUCAUGACUUUUUUAAAACUAGAAUAUCAUCGAAGGCUCCCAAAGGAAGAAACGGCAGCCCACAGAAAAUCAGUGGUUAGUUCCGAUUUUCAUCGUGAAUCGAAAUCCAAUUCAUGGCCACCGUUAAUUACUUCGAAGAAAAUUUGUGCGAAUUUUGAAAACCAACCUUUGAAGAUCAAAUUCCUCCUUACGAACGAUAAUAUCCCUGGGAUCUCAUUACAGAAUCAUCUGCAACAUUUUCAGGCGAAGUACCGAAGAAAACCGAAAUUAAAGCCGUUGUCAUGAGGAUUUCUGCGCCCGUCUACAAACUGAAUAACCAUUGCAUUAUUCAAUGUCAUAAAUUUGAAGUGAUAUAAUAUAGACUAUCAUAAAUACAA
This is a long non-coding RNA of Leptinotarsa decemlineata (Colorado potato beetle), 522 nucleotides long. The record is from RefSeq and is a predicted model, not a curated record. NCBI's taxonomy places the organism in Eukaryota, Metazoa, Arthropoda, Insecta, Coleoptera, Chrysomelidae.